RNAcentral lists this ribosomal RNA (774 nucleotides) under uncultured Neocallimastigales. RNAcentral describes it as "partial large subunit ribosomal RNA". It matches the Rfam family "Eukaryotic large subunit ribosomal RNA", at positions 24 to 644 of the family's 3401-position model. Lineage: Eukaryota; Fungi; Neocallimastigomycota; Neocallimastigomycetes; Neocallimastigales. The record is from RNAcentral.
UAUGUGAUCGUCUCUCGCAUAUCAAUAAGCGGAGGAAAAGAAACUAACAAGGAUUCCCCUAGUAACGGCGAGUGAAGCGGGAAGAGCUCAAAUUUGAAAUCUUAAAGGGUUUCCCUUUACGAAUUGUAGUUUAAAGAAGUGUUUUCUGUUGAGGUUUUGGUAAAAGUUCUUUGGAAUAGGACAUCAUAGAGGGUGAGAAUCCCGUAUUUGACCUUUACUUUCAACUUUGUGAUACACUUUCAAAGAGUCGGAUUGUUUGGGAAUGCAGUCCAAAAUGGGUGGUAAAUUUCAUCUAAAGCUAAAUAUUGGCGAGAGACCGAUAGCGAACAAGUACCGUGAGGGAAAGAUGAAAAGAACUUUGAAAAGAGAGUUAAACAGUACGUGAAAUUGUCAAAAGGGAAGCGUUUGACACCAGUGUUGUUUUUCUGAAAAUCAAUUAAAGAACUGUUUAUGCUAAGUUGUUUAGACUUUAUCAGCUAACUGUUUAGUUUUGAGCUUUUCUUUAAUGCACUUUUCAGUUAACAAGUCAACAUCAAUUUCUUUUGCUGUAAAAAAGCUUGAGGAAGGUGGCUUGAGAUUCGUCUUAAGUGUUUAUAGCCUCUUGCCUAUGCAGUCGGAGAGAUUGAGGUCUGCAGCGUAGAUCCUUCGGGGCUAAAUGCAUUUGUGCUAAGUUAUAACAUUUUAUAGACAACUUGUUGACUAUGAUUUGUCUUGUAGCUUACUCGCUUAUGUUAUUUUACCUACGCUUAGGAUGUUGAAGAUAUGCGCGACACG